Molecule: ribosomal RNA, 275 nt
Filed under: uncultured Spirochaeta sp.
Lineage: Bacteria; Pseudomonadati; Spirochaetota; Spirochaetia; Spirochaetales; Spirochaetaceae
Description: partial 16S ribosomal RNA
Rfam family: Bacterial small subunit ribosomal RNA
Source: RNAcentral
CCUACGGGUGGCUGCAGCUAAGAAUCUUCCGCAAUGGGGGCAACCCUGACGGAGCGAUGCCGCGUGGAUGACGAAGGUCGAGAGAUUGUAAAGUCCUUUUCUGGAUGAGGAAUAAGCAUCGGAGGAAAUGCCGGUGUGAUGACGUUAGUUCAGGAAUAAGCCCCGGCCAAUUACGUGCCAGCAGCCGCGGUAACACGUAAGGGGCGAGCGUUGUUCGGAAUUAUUGGGCGUAAAGGGCGUGCAGGCGGUUUGACAAGUCUGUUGUGAAAGACCGG